This 1186-nucleotide ribosomal RNA is filed under the name Buchananella hordeovulneris. RNAcentral's name for it is "bacterial SSU rRNA". It matches the Rfam family "Bacterial small subunit ribosomal RNA", at positions 260 to 1441 of the family's 1533-position model. The record is from RNAcentral. Lineage: Bacteria; Bacillati; Actinomycetota; Actinomycetes; Actinomycetales; Actinomycetaceae.
AUGGCCUACCAAGGCUUUGACGGGUAGCCGGCCUGAGAGGGUGACCGGUCACACUGGGACUGAGAUACGGCCCAGACUCCUACGGGAGGCAGCAGUGGGGAAUAUUGCACAAUGGGCGAAAGCCUGAUGCAGCGACGCCGCGUGAGGGAUGACGGCCUUCGGGUUGUAAACCUCUUUCAGUAAGGACGCAGGCCUAGGCUUUUGUUUGGGUUGACUUUACUUACAGAAGAAGCGCCGGCUAACUACGUGCCAGCAGCCGCGGUAAUACGUAGGGCGCAAGCGUUGUCCGGAAUUAUUGGGCGUAAAGAGCUCGUAGGCGGUUUGUCGCGUCUGUCGUGAAAACCCACAGCUUAACUGUGGGCUUGCGGUGGGUACGGGCAGGCUUGAGUGCGGUAGGGGAGACUGGAAUUCCUGGUGUAGCGGUGGAAUGCGCAGAUAUCAGGAGGAACACCGGUGGCGAAGGCGGGUCUCUGGGCCGUUACUGACGCUGAGGAGCGAAAGCAUGGGGAGCGAACAGGAUUAGAUACCCUGGUAGUCCAUGCCGUAAACGUUGGGCACUAGGUGUGGGGGCUGUUUCCAUGGUUCCUGCGCCGUAGCUAACGCAUUAAGUGCCCCGCCUGGGGAGUACGGUCGCAAGGCUAAAACUCAAAGGAAUUGACGGGGGCCCGCACAAGCGGCGGAGCAUGCGGAUUAAUUCGAUGCAACGCGAAGAACCUUACCAAGGCUUGACAUACAUCCAGAGUCUGCAGAGAUGUGGGCGCAUUUAGUUGGGGGUGUACAGGUGGUGCAUGGUUGUCGUCAGCUCGUGUCGUGAGAUGUUGGGUUAAGUCCCGCAACGAGCGCAACCCUUGUCUCAUGUUGCCAGCACGUUAUGGUGGGGACUCGUGAGAGACUGCCGGGGUUAACUCGGAGGAAGGUGGGGAUGACGUCAAAUCAUCAUGCCCCUUAUGUCUUGGGCUUCACGCAUGCUACAAUGGCCAGUACAGAGGGUUGCGAUAUCGUAAGGUUGAGCGAAUCCCUUAAAGCUGGUCUCAGUUCGGAUUGGGGUCUGCAACUCGACCCCAUGAAGUCGGAGUCGCUAGUAAUCGCAGAUCAGCAACGCUGCGGUGAAUACGUUCUCGGGCCUUGUACACACCGCCCGUCACGUCACGAAAGUUGGUAACACCCGAAGCCCAUGGCCUAACCG